Molecule: non-coding RNA, 82 nt
Organism: Tulasnella sp. JGI-2019a
Lineage: Eukaryota; Fungi; Basidiomycota; Agaricomycetes; Cantharellales; Tulasnellaceae
Source: the annotation of a GenBank genome assembly
GGUCGGUUAGCUCAGUUGGUUAGAGCGUGGUGCUAAUAACCAGUUUACGCCAAGGUCAAGGGUUCGACCCCCUUACGGAUCA